This 466-nucleotide ribosomal RNA is filed under the name uncultured bacterium. RNAcentral describes it as "partial 16S ribosomal RNA". It matches the Rfam family "Bacterial small subunit ribosomal RNA", at positions 28 to 507 of the family's 1533-position model. The record is from RNAcentral.
GAUGAACGCUGGCGGCGCGCUUAACACAUGCAAGUCGAACGAUGAAGCCCAGCUUGCUGGGUGGAUUAGUGGCGAACGGGUGAGUAACACGUGAGUAACCUGCCCUUAACUCUGGGAUAAGCCUGGGAAACUGGGUCUAAUACCGGAUAGGAGCGUCCACCGCAUGGUGGGUGUUGGAAAGAUUUAUCGGUUUUGGAUGGACUCGCGGCCUAUCAGCUUGUUGGUGAGGUAAUGGCUCACCAAGGCGACGACGGGUAGCCGGCCUGAGAGGGUGACCGGCCACACUUGGACUGAGACACGGCCCAGACUCCUACGGGAGGCAGCAGUGGGGAAUAUUGCACAAUGGGCGCAAGCCUGAUGCAGCGACGCCGCGUGAGGGAUGACGGCCUUCGGGUUGUAAACCUCUUUCAGUAGGGAAGAAGCGAAAGUGACGGUACCUGCAGAAGAAGCACCGGCUAACUACGUG